Molecule: ribosomal RNA, 441 nt
Filed under: Triticum aestivum (bread wheat)
Lineage: Eukaryota; Viridiplantae; Streptophyta; Magnoliopsida; Poales; Poaceae
Description: partial small subunit ribosomal RNA
Source: RNAcentral
AUGGCGAGGCAGAGAAGCGGUGGCGCGGGCAUCGAGGGAAGUAGAGGCAACCGAAGGAUCCGGCCGUGGCUGGAGGCAGAGGAGGUACGGGGCGACGGGGGCAGACUGUGCUCGGCGGCGUCGGAGGAUGACGCUACGGCGCAGCCGGGGCAGAGCAGCGAUGGAGCUGGAGGCCUACGCGCGGGAUCGGGCGCUGUACGUGCUCAGUGUUGGGGAAGGAGGCGGUGCAUCGGAGGGGGUCGAGGUGUGAGGGAGGCUGCGGAGGGUCGAGAGGGAGGAGGAGGUGAUGGGGAUCGAGAUCGGGCACUGGGUUCUGGCGAAUUUAGACCAAAUGAGUUAGAAGUGGACGUAGGAGUUAGAAAUGUCCAAAAUGAUGAACAUUUGGCGGAGCUUGGGAAGGUGACAAAAGAAUUUAUAGCAAGGUUGGAGGCCAGGAAUUGA